This 252-nucleotide unclassified non-coding RNA is filed under the name Hevea brasiliensis (rubber tree). The record is from RNAcentral. Lineage: Eukaryota; Viridiplantae; Streptophyta; Magnoliopsida; Malpighiales; Euphorbiaceae.
GAAGAUGGUAAAAUCUCCACCAGCUGCAAGGAAAAGUAAGGUGAAACUUAGGGCUGCACAAAAAAUAUCCAAACCAGAACAGACUGACUCGGCCAGUUUUUAUUUUUCACAAGCAGAGUAACUUUACUAUUACACCAAACCACCCUCUUAUGUUUGCCAUCUUUGUUCCAUAAAAAUGGGCCUACUUCCAUUUUUGCGUAGUUUAAGAAAAUAUAGGUAAUAUAGUUAAAGCAAUUAUAUUUUCUUAAACUA